AAAGAUACACAAGCAUAUGCAUUAGAGUUGCAUGAGUUUCUUCACUGGUAGCCUACUCAGGAUUUCUUCUUCCACAAGUUCCAAAGGAAGUGACGGUAAUGAUGCUAUGGUUCCGGUGGUGCCAUUGCUGUGUAGCUCCAUUCUACCUAAGUGAUGCACUGAUGAUGCUAGGGUUCUGGUGAUGCUAAGUGAAGACUUAAGAGUCGUCGAUUGGAGAAGAUUGCCGGUUUUUAUAUGACAUUAUGACGGCAUAAUAAUAUAUGGCUAUGGUGUAGUUAUGAAAAACAGGGUUUAUUUAUCUUAAGGUUUGGGUUAUUGUAAAAAAAGAAAAAAAAGAAAAAAAAGUAAGGUUUGGGCCGGUGUUUUAAAAACCGGACCGGACAUCGAACCGGCGAGGGUACUGUGUCACUGGUUCAUUGGUCGAACCACUGAAUUACUGAUCGAACCGCAAGACAAACCGGAUUAAAUUGGAUUAAACCGGUGUAAUGAACCGGUCUCUAUAUAUAUAGUUAUUGAACCGGUAUAUAGCAAAACUCUCAUAAUGGUAAGAUAGGAUAAUAGGUACCAAACAUUGUUACAUAAAUAACCAUAUGCAUCGGAAUGGCAGGCUGACUAAAGGUAUUAACUCC
RNAcentral lists this long non-coding RNA (629 nucleotides) under Trifolium pratense (red clover). RNAcentral's name for it is "long non-coding RNA (TPRA_LNC010051)". The record is from RNAcentral. Lineage: Eukaryota; Viridiplantae; Streptophyta; Magnoliopsida; Fabales; Fabaceae.